AAGAUUAUUGUUUCAGGGAUCAUUACUAGAGUUUCUGACUUAAGGAAUGUGUUUCUAAAGUGUUUGGUCUCUCUGACCACAAUGAUGAGUGGUGAUAUUCCUUUCUGUGCGUGAAGCUGUCAGAGAGUAAUGCUUCACUUCAUAUGCGCUCUGUCAUUGAUGAUUGGUCAUUGUUUCUUUAUGGAGCAUUGAGAAAGGGAAUAUGAUCAGAGUGGU
Small nucleolar RNA from Etheostoma cragini (Arkansas darter), 216 nucleotides. RefSeq annotates it as small nucleolar RNA U3. NCBI's taxonomy places the organism in Eukaryota, Metazoa, Chordata, Actinopteri, Perciformes, Percidae. The transcript has a single exon. The record is from RefSeq and is a predicted model, not a curated record.